CCUACGGGAGGCAGCAGUAGGGAAUCUUCCACAAUGGGCGCAAGCCUGAUGGAGCAACACCGCGUGAGUGAAGAAGGGUUUCGGCUCGUAAAGCUCUGUUGUUGGAGAAGAACGUGCGUGAGAGUAACUGUUCACGCAGUGACGGUAUCCAACCAGAAAGUCACGGCUAACUACGUGCCAGCAGCCGCGGUAAUACGUAGGUGGCAAGCGUUAUCCGGUUUUAUUGGGAGUAAAGCGAGCGCAGGCGGUUGCUUAGGUCUGAUGUGAAAGCCUUCGGCUUAACCGAAGAAGUGCAUCGGAAACCGGGCAACUUGAGUGCAGAAGAGGACAGUGGAACUCCAUGUGUAGCGGUGGAAUGCGUAGAUAUAUGGAAGAACACCAGUGGCGAAGGCGGCUGUCUGGUCUGCAACUGACGCUGAGGCUCGAAAGCAUGGGUAGCAAACAGGAUUAGAUACCCGGGUAGUC
This 465-nucleotide ribosomal RNA is filed under the name uncultured bacterium. RNAcentral's name for it is "partial 16S ribosomal RNA". It matches the Rfam family "Bacterial small subunit ribosomal RNA", at positions 338 to 795 of the family's 1533-position model. The record is from RNAcentral.